Molecule: ribosomal RNA, 975 nt
Filed under: Flavobacterium sp. DiSf7
Lineage: Bacteria; Pseudomonadati; Bacteroidota; Flavobacteriia; Flavobacteriales; Flavobacteriaceae
Description: bacterial SSU rRNA
Rfam family: Bacterial small subunit ribosomal RNA
Source: RNAcentral
GUCGAGGGGUAUGGUUCUUCGGAACCAGAGACCGGCGCACGGGUGCGUAACGCGUAUGCAAUCUGCCUUUCACAGAGGGAUAGCCCAGAGAAAUUUGGAUUAAUACCUCAUAGUAUUAUGAAGUGGCAUCACUUUAUAAUUAAAGUCACAACGGUGAAAGAUGAGCAUGCGUCCCAUUAGCUAGUUGGUAAGGUAACGGCUUACCAAGGCAACGAUGGGUAGGGGUCCUGAGAGGGAGAUCCCCCACACUGGUACUGAGACACGGACCAGACUCCUACGGGAGGCAGCAGUGAGGAAUAUUGGUCAAUGGGCGCAAGCCUGAACCAGCCAUGCCGCGUGCAGGAUGACGGUCCUAUGGAUUGUAAACUGCUUUUGUACGGGAAGAAACACUGAUUCGUGAAUCAGCUUGACGGUACCGUAAGAAUAAGGAUCGGCUAACUCCGUGCCAGCAGCCGCGGUAAUACGGAGGAUCCAAGCGUUAUCCGGAAUCAUUGGGUUUAAAGGGUCCGUAGGCGGUUUGGUAAGUCAGUGGUGAAAGCCCAUCGCUCAACGGUGGAACGGCCAUUGAUACUGCUAAACUUGAAUUAUUGGGAAGUAACUAGAAUAUGUAGUGUAGCGGUGAAAUGCUUAGAGAUUACAUGGAAUACCAAUUGCGAAGGCAGGUUACUACCAAUUGAUUGACGCUGAUGGACGAAAGCGUGGGUAGCGAACAGGAUUAGAUACCCUGGUAGUCCACGCCGUAAACGAUGGAUACUAGCUGUUGGGGGCAACUUCAGUGGCUAAGCGAAAGUGAUAAGUAUCCCACCUGGGGAGUACGUUCGCAAGAAUGAAACUCAAAGGAAUUGACGGGGGCCCGCACAAGCGGUGGAGCAUGUGGUUUAAUUCGAUGAUACGCGAGGAACCUUACCAAGGCUUAAAUGCAGACUGACCGAUUUGGAAACAGAUCUUUCGCAAGACAGUUUACAAGGUGCUGCA